RNAcentral lists this ribosomal RNA (728 nucleotides) under uncultured eukaryote. RNAcentral describes it as "SSU rRNA". It matches the Rfam family "Eukaryotic small subunit ribosomal RNA", at positions 674 to 1426 of the family's 1831-position model. The record is from RNAcentral.
GGCCAUGUUGGUUAACAGAUCCUCAUCUGCUGGACGUCUGGCGAUGAUCUUUAUCGGUUGUCGUCAGUUGCCAGCACGUUUACUUUGAGAAAAUUAGAGUGCUAAAAGCGGGCUCACCCCUAUAUAUAUUGCAUGGAAUAAUGAAAUAAGAUCUCGAUUUUAUUUCUUUGGUUUUAGAAAUUGAGAUAAUGAUUAAUAGGAUCAGAGGGGGGCGUACGUACUGUGGUGUGAGAGGUGAAAUUCUUGGAUCGCCACAGGACGAACAGCAGCGAAGGCGUUCGCCAAGAAUGUUUUCAUUAAUCAAGAACGAAAGUGUGAGGUUCGAAGACGAUUAGAUACCGUCCUAGUUCAAACCAUAAACGUUGCCAACUGUCUUUUAGAUGCGGUUAUUUAUAUGACUCAUCUGGCGGAUCUCGAGAAAUCUAAGUUUUUAGGUUCCGGGGGAAGUAUGGUUGCAAAGCUGAAACUUAAAAGAAUUGACGGAAGGACACACAAGAAGUGGAGCCUGUGGCCUAAUUUGACUCAACACGGGAAACCUUACUCGGCCAGGACACUUUUAGGAUUGACAGAUUGAGAGCUCUUUCUUGAUUAGGUGGGUGGUGGUGCAUGGUCGUUCGUAGUUCGUGGAGCGAUUUGUCUGAUUAAUUUCGAUAACGAACGAGACUCCGGCUUACUAAAUAGUCUAAAGUUCGAAGGGACUUUUCAAGACUUCUUAGCAGGAUAAGUGG